AAAAUAAACUACGUAUCACUUAAAAUUUUUGAAAUAUCUUAUGUAACCCCUAUCUUUUUUUUUGUUUCAAAUAUAUCCUUCGUAUAUUUCUCUAUUACUCAAAAAUAACUUGCUUUAGUACCCAUUAAAUUAUUCCAAAUUAAACCCAGAUUAAAUUUCUACCAGAGUUAAAAAAGAGUCAAAAUACUUAUUUUGUCCCUAACUUACUAAUCUAUUUUCUUACUUUCUUAUUUAUCCCGCUUAGAAGGCUUUAUAUGAAAAAUAUUCUUCAAAUGUUACAAGUUCUUUUAAAUUUACUUCUAGAAAAGUGGGUAAUGGUAGAAGAGAAUAUUUAAAUGAUUAAAAUAGUAAUUUUAUAGAGACGAUGAUUGUUCCUAAUGAUUCACUAACAGAAUUUAGCUUUAGGAGAAUAUUUAACAAAACUCGAAAUGUUAGAGGAGUACUUUCCAUAUUAACCUUCUAAGCGGGAUAAAUAAAAAAGUUUGAAAUUUUUCAUGGGUAUAUAAGCAAUUACCCCUUAAUUGAACGUUUCAGUAUAACUGGAUUCACUGUAGUUGUUGUGUUAUAUAGUACUGAAAAAUACUACAUGUACACCUCUUUAUAAGGUGUG
RNAcentral lists this long non-coding RNA (610 nucleotides) under Ananas comosus (pineapple). RNAcentral's name for it is "long non-coding RNA (ACOM_LNC008590)". The record is from RNAcentral. Lineage: Eukaryota; Viridiplantae; Streptophyta; Magnoliopsida; Poales; Bromeliaceae.